Molecule: ribosomal RNA, 481 nt
Filed under: uncultured bacterium
Lineage: Bacteria
Description: partial 16S ribosomal RNA
Rfam family: Bacterial small subunit ribosomal RNA
Source: RNAcentral
GAUGAACGCUGGCGGCGUGCUUAACACAUGCAAGUCGAACGAAACAUUUGCGACAGAUUGUUUCGGAAUGAAGUUGCUUAUGACUGAGUGGCGUACGGGUGAGUAACGCGUGGGUAACCUGCCUUGUACUGGGGGAUAGCAGCUGGAAACGGCUGGUAAUACCGCAUAAGCGCACAAUGUUGCAUGACAUGGUGUGAAAAACUCCGGGGGUAUAAGAUGGACCCGCGUCUGAUUAGCUAGUUGGUGAGAUAACAGCCCACCAAGGCGACGAUCAGUAGCCGAUCUGAGAGGGUGACCGGCCACAUUGGGACUGAGACACGGCCCAGACUCCUACGGGAGGCAGCAGUGGGGAAUAUUGCACAAUGGAGGAAACUCUGAUGCAGCCACGCCGCGUGAGUGAAGAAGUAAUUCGUUAUGUAAAGCUCUAUCAGCAGGGAAGAUAGUGACGGUACCUGACGAAGAAGCCCCGGCUAACUACGUG